RNAcentral lists this ribosomal RNA (465 nucleotides) under Vreelandella stevensii. RNAcentral describes it as "partial 16S ribosomal RNA". It matches the Rfam family "Bacterial small subunit ribosomal RNA", at positions 338 to 795 of the family's 1533-position model. Lineage: Bacteria; Pseudomonadati; Pseudomonadota; Gammaproteobacteria; Oceanospirillales; Halomonadaceae. The record is from RNAcentral.
CCUACGGGUGGCAGCAGUGGGGAAUAUUGGACAAUGGGCGAAAGCCUGAUCCAGCCAUGCCGCGUGUGUGAAGAAGGCCUUCGGGUUGUAAAGCACUUUCAGUGGGGAAGAAAGCCUUGGGGCUAAUACCCUCGAGGAAGGACAUCACCCACAGAAGAAGCACCGGCUAACUCCGUGCCAGCAGCCGCGGUAAUACGGAGGGUGCGAGCGUUAAUCGGAAUUACUGGGCGUAAAGCGCGCGUAGGCGGUCUGAUAAGCCGGUUGUGAAAGCCCCGGGCUCAACCUGGGAACGGCAUCCGGAACUGUGAGGCUAGAGUGCAGGAGAGGAAGGUAGAAUUCCCGGUGUAGCGGUGAAAUGCGUAGAGAUCGGGAGGAAUACCAGUGGCGAAGGCGGCCUUCUGGACUGACACUGACGCUGAGGUGCGAAAGCGUGGGUAGCAAACAGGAUUAGAUACCCCAGUAGUC